ACGGGAGGCAGCAGUGGGGAAUAUUGCACAAUGGGCGAAAGCCUGAUGUAGCGACGCCGCGUGAGUGAAGAAGUAUUUCGGUAUGUAAAGCUCUAUCAGCAGGGAAGAAAAUGACAGUACCUGACUAAGAAGCCCCGGCUAACUACGUGCCAGCAGCCGCGGUAAUACGUAGGGGGCAAGCGUUAUCCGGAUUUACUGGGUGUAAAGGGAGCGCAGGUGGCAUGGCAAGCCAGAAGUGAAAACCCGGGGCUUAACCCCGCGGACUGCUUUUGGAACUGUCAGGCUAGAGUGCAGGAGGGGCAGGCGGAAUUCCUAGUGUAGCGGUGAAAUGCGUAGAUAUUAGGAGGAACACCGGUGGCGAAGGCGGCCUGCUGGACUGUAACUGACACUGAGGCUCGAAAGCGUGGGGAGCAAACAGGAUUAGAUACCCUGGUA
This 435-nucleotide ribosomal RNA is filed under the name uncultured Lachnospiraceae bacterium. RNAcentral's name for it is "partial 16S ribosomal RNA". It matches the Rfam family "Bacterial small subunit ribosomal RNA", at positions 341 to 792 of the family's 1533-position model. The record is from RNAcentral. Lineage: Bacteria; Bacillati; Bacillota; Clostridia; Lachnospirales; Lachnospiraceae.